GGACCCGCACAAGCGGUGGAGCAUGUGGUUUAAUUCGAUGCAACGCGAAAAAACCUUACCUACUCCUGACAUACUUGGGAGCUCUUGUAAUGAGAGUGUGCCUUUUGGAACCAAGAUACAGGUGCUGCAUGGCUGUCGUCAGCUCGUGUCGUGAGAUGUUCCGUUAAGUCGGAUAACGAGCGCAACCCUUACCCUUAUUUGCCAGCGAUUCGGUCGGGAACUAUAAGGGGACUGCCGGUGAUAAACCGGAGGAAGGUGAGGACGACGUCAAGUCAUCAUGGCCCUUACGAGUAGGGCUACACACGUGCUACAAUGGGGAAUACAGACGGACGCUAAGCCGCGAGGGG
This 347-nucleotide ribosomal RNA is filed under the name uncultured bacterium. Its description in RNAcentral is "bacterial SSU rRNA". It matches the Rfam family "Bacterial small subunit ribosomal RNA", at positions 917 to 1264 of the family's 1533-position model. The record is from RNAcentral.